CUCUGGUGGAAUUUACUUGAGGCCUCUUCCUCUUUCUGCUGCCGUGGGCCACGGAGUAAUGGAACAGCUCUCCUCCACCAGUUUGCUCGAGAUGAGGUAAAGUGUUUCCUCGGUGUCAAUCUCUGAAAAAAAAGUCUCCCUAAGUGGAGGUGACCGAAGGCCUUUGUGGCUGGGGUUUUGUGGUACAGUCUCUGGAGGCUGAGAGAGUUCUGCCGAAUAUCGUCGAUAAUCCUCAUAGCCACGUCUUUCUGGGUUAGGACGUGCAGGGCCAAGUACCCUUGCCGAUGCUCUUGAGGAGACGGUAGCUGGCGAUGUGGGUCUCCCAAGCAGAGACGGGCAGAGAGGGCCCAUAGCGCGUGGGGUUUCCUGUGGGGUUGGAGGCAAAGUGUCCUGAGGUGAGUCUUUUUUUUUUUUUAAUUUUUAAUGCUUGGUUAUUUAUUUUGAGAGAGAGAUUGCAUGUAUGUAAGCGAGGGAGGAGCAGAGAAAGAGGGAGAGAGAGAAUCCCAAGCAGGUUCCAUGCUGUCCGCACAGGGCCCAAUGCAGGGCUUGGUUCCAGGAAUCGUGAGAUCAUGACCCAAGCCAAAACCAAAAGUCAGAAGCUUAACCCACGGAGCCACCCAGGUACCCCAUGAGGUCAGUUUAAGUUUGGGAAAAUUUGGAGGGAGGUUUGAUCCAAAUAACCUCAAAGAAAACCAGGCCUAAAGUCCAUGUGAAUGUUAAAUCUAUGCCUCACAUGAGCCAAGAUGUCUCAUCUCAUCACCCUGACCUCAGGCUGGAAUCAGUCUUCCUGGUUCUCAGGACUUUGGACUCAGACUGGACUGAAUUACACCACUCGCUCUCCCGGGAUCUCCAGUUUGCAGAUGGCAGAUCGUAGAACUUCUCAGCUUCCCUAAUCACUUGAGCCAAAUCCUUAUUUUACUUAACUGACUGAGCCACCCAGGUGCCCAAAUCCUUAUUUUAUUAAUGUAGUUCCCUGGAGAACCCUGACUAAUACAGGUCAUCUAAUGAAUUUAUUCUAAAACAAUCAGAACAUGAUAACAGUCCAAAAGUAAAUAAAGAAAUAGACACUAACAAACUAAUUUUUUUAAAGAUGAGAAAAAAUAUGAAUCAGGAAAAAAGAAAAAAGGUAAAUAUAAAAGAAAAGAAAGAAAAAUGAAAACAACAAAGAAAAAUGAGAAAAAGAGAAAGAAAAAAAGAUUUAAAAAGAAAAAUAAAAAAUAAAAGGAAGUAAGAAGAAAAUGAAAAAAGAAAAGGUGAGAAAAGGGCUAAUAGAAAACUCAGAAAAUACAAAAUGAGAAAAAUGAAAAAUAAAGAAAAAUGAGGAAAAAAGCAUAAGAAAAUGAAAGAAAAUAAAAGUAGAGCAGGAAGAAGAAGGAAAAAUAAGAAGGAAAAUAGACAAAAUGGUAAAGAGGAAGAAAGCUAACUUUGGUCAAAGUCCCUUAGGUCUCCAAAAACCAGUUUCCUGAGCUAAGAGGACCAAAAGGUAGGGUGCCCUUCUUCUAUGGAAGACAGAAUAUAGGACAUCUUGUGUGAUGGGUGCCCAUGAGCUUAGCAGUGGUUCCACGAGGGUAUGGCCUUCAGAGUAGCCCCACCCUUUCUCUCUACAGAACAAUUCACUCUUGGAAUAUUGUCUUCUCACAUUUCACAUACCAAGUACGCUUCUCCUCCUCCCUAGGUACUCACUCUGUGCCUCUUACAAGUAAAACCCUCAAAAAAGAGUCUCUCUUUUCCGCACGUGACAGGGAAGAUGGCAUUAUUAUCCCCGAGAACUUCUAGCGGAGAAACACUACAGAGAAGGCGCCUCUCACUCCACCUGUCCCUGGUCUGCUUUCUGGAGGAAUUCGAUUGGCCCUGCUAGAGGUCAUGUGACCACCUCCAGGGCUGCUGGCUUUUGUCAAAAGCACAACAUGCUACCAUGGGUCUGCAUGGCUCACAUACUCGCCCAGAGCUACCACUUGUAGGACAGAGAGAAUGAUAGCAUAUCAAGUUUUAAAUUUGAUACACUAUCAGGACAAAAUGGACUAUAUGAGACGACUCUCCUAAAAAAAAAAAAAAUAACGAUGUUGGAAAGAUGUUCAAUAUGGCUCAUUGAUGAUUAUUUAGUAAAAGCUAGCAAAGGCCAAUGAAUGUUUAUGGAUAUUAUUAGUACAUUUUGAUUGUCCUUAAAAAUUUUCAAAUUUAGUGUCUUUCUUUGCAGGCUUGUGGGAGAAUUUCAGCCCCCCAAAAGAUAUUUUUUAAGUGUUGGGAAUUGACCUAAAAAAAUUGUGAUAACAUGACCAUGAUCUAUAAUUUUAUCCAAAAGUGUUAAGUUACCCAGCGCUUUGUAAAUUAUCACACGUAUGCCUACUAUAAACAACCACAACCACCAUUAUUUUUCCAUGUCGCAUAAAAAUGUUUAUGAAAUCACAGAGGACCUUUAGAUAAUAAAAGUAGAAGUGUAAGAGGAUAAAAGUUGGAAAGUUUCAUGUGGGAAGAACUGUAGAUUCUGCAUAUAAAAUAAGUUCAGCUAACACGGUGGCAUUCUGUACGCCCCAAAGGAUAUGGGGAAAAGUUAACUUCGCUUUUAAUCUAUUGGGAACAGUAGUCCACUUGCAAGGAGCAAAUGAGAUGUAAUUUUUUCACCACCAAUAAAGCAGUUUUAAACGUUGUUCAUUUUACUUUAGAUAUUAUAAAGAUAAAAAUCAUUUGGUAAUCCCCCCUCCAAAAAACCUUGAAGACUGUCAUGAAUUCACCAUGUUUGUAGGAUAAUAAACUAUUUCGGGACAUCAGAAGCACAGUAGUUAAAAUGCAAUUCAAAUGAGAUCUACAUUUAAUGUAGAAGAACCAGACCUCCCUUAUCUCUCCUGCCUCUAAUAUCCCUGUUGUGAAAUAUGCAAUAAGGAGGCUCAUUGUGUGUGUGUCUGUAGAGCCAGCCUUCAAAGCCCCAUUGAAGCCACAUGACUUCAGUCACACCUCAUGUAUUUCUUUAAUGAAGAUAAGCACUUUCAAGUUUCUUUAUUCCUUUGCUUCUUUGGAGAUGCCUGGUAUUGUUUUUCCCGCAACAUUUGAGUUACGAUGCUGUCUUUUGUGCUAAUAGACCGAACUAUGGCUUACAGUUAUUUUGAUCCCGUUCGUGCAUUUACUCCCGGCUCUCAGGGGAAGGAGUUACAUUUACAAGAGAACGCUCAAGUCUUGUGCGAAGGAACUGCAUGGAGGUUCAAAUCAGCUAUAAAUAAUGAUCAUGGGUUUUAUUUUAACGCCUACUAUGUGCCAGGUCUUCUGCAUAAAUAUAACAUAUGCGGUCCUUCCCCAAACCCUGAAUUCAGUAUAUGAUCACAAUUAACAUAAUUAUACUAUUACUUUCUGUAGGUGGAGGCCGAUUCAGGGGGGUCAUCAAAUAGCGGAGUGGGGCUCAUCCUCGUAGGUCUAUGUGAGAACAGUUAGUGGCAUUCUUAGCAGAUCUCCGAGGAUCCAAGUAUAAUGGUGAAAGCGACAAGAUGCUCUGAGACCACCAAGGAGCUCUAGCAGUUUUUGAUUCUAUAAAGAGAAACGUCUACACCAGAGUGGCAAUCACAGCCCAGGGGUGACAGCCGCGUUUCAGACCAGGAGUGGGCUGUUGGAAAAACACUCCCAUUCACAACGUCCGAUUCCUUCAUGGGGUCCCUGCCCCCGCCAUUUUAUCCUCUAAUCUGCAGCCAAAUUUGUCAUCCUAAAAAUGCAAAUCUGGUUACAUAAUUUCCUGGCUUAAAAUCCUCUACCUAAACAUUAAAAUGGGACUCGAGACUUUUAAAUUGCUUACAAGCGACUUCAAGCUAUGGUCGCCCUCUGCUUAGCUCUCCAGCGUCACCUUGUACGGAUGCCAGGCUCCACAUCAGAGAUUAAGCUCGACCUGCUCGUGAACGCGUUGGUUCCUGUAAUUUACCACGCUUUCUCUCCACACAGGCCUUGAAUGUGCUGUUCCUCCCGGCCUAGCACAGUUCUUGCCCCCGCCAAACCUCCUCCCCAACUCCGCUCGGUAAGCAGCUACUGGCUUGGCUUGGUGGCUCUGUGUGACCUCAAGACUUGGGGAGGCACACCUCCUAGAUGUUCCCCACAGGCUCAGUACCCCUCCCAGCAGAGAGCUCAUCUUUCAUUUGUGACUCUGUGUGCCCAUGAACUCCAGGCUCUGGCCACGCAGGACCCAGGCUUAUUCUUCUCAUCACUGUGCUCCCAACGUCUGGCACAGAGCUUGACGCAUAGUAGGUGCUCCACAGGGCCUGAAAUUUUACACCUGCACACACACAUUCUCUCUCUCUCUCCCUCUCUCCACUUAUCAUAGACAUACAAGAUAUUUCCUUUAUUUUAAUUUUUUUAAUGUUUAUUCAUUAUUUUUGAGAGACAGACACAGAGCAUGAGUGGGGGAGGGGCAGAGAGAGAGGGAGACACGACAUACAAGAUAUUUUCAACGUCAUGAUCCCUCAUCCUUCAGCUUUUGUAUAGGAGAACGCUGUGAUCCAGAUAUCUUAAAUAAUUUGCCUUAGUUCAUGUAUUUUAUUAGUGCUUAAGAAGUGUAAGUCUCGGUCUACAGAUAUGGAGGUACAAAAAAAAUCGUUGUUUUAUCUUGUAAAAGUUAAUUUAUUAUCACCUUCGGUCUCAAUUCCCCUGCGAUGGCAGGGCCAUUGGAAUCAGGGGUCCCACGGGCUCUCCCCAUAAGGUUGUUGCAACGUCCUUGGAGUCUUAAUGUGUUAUUUUCAAAUGGCGCGUUCAGGUUUCUCAUUAUCCCGUUCUCCAUGGGUCCUUCAAGCCAGCCAGCUUUGUAGAUUCCAUGCUAUCCUUGGCUAUGGUUUCUUUCCCUUCUGAGGCUUGGCCACCUCCUUGGAGUACUGGCGCACAGCAUCAGAUAACAACUGAUCUCUCCUCCAUCCACUUGCAAUAUCGACCCGACAAAAAUCUCUUUUUUAAUAUUGGGAAAAUCCUUCAUUCUCUUUUCAUAUGGCUCACAGAGGAAUUAUGUCUUCUCACUGUCUUCUUUCAAGGCAUUUAAAACGUUGAGCCACAAAAGCCAAGAAGGGAAUGGAAUUAUAGACAAUUUUAGCUUUCUACUGUGAUUGGUUGGAACACUUCUGGUCAAGUGAACAGACAUCUGACUCAUCCUGCCUUAUGCACAAAGAGAAAUAAAUUGUAUUACAACCCGGAGAAAACCAAGGUGGGUGCUGGCUUCCAGCAGAUUCAGAUUAUGCUGCCGGGGUCUGGUUUUCCUCUCUCCGGGUUUUGGCUCUACUGUCUUCUGCUUGAUCUCUUGUCUGGCUGAUUUUCUAUUCAGCGUCUCUGGUUAACCCUACCGUUUUAGCUUCACUAAGCUUCCACUAAGGAAGAGAAUGAAGAUCUCUUUCCCAGAAGGACCAGAAAAAUACAUUGCUGCACCCACCUGACUUUGAUUAGAUGAUAUUUUUCUCUCCUGAACUCAACAGUAAAAGCAAUAUGAUGUUCUGAACAACUCAAACCAAGGUCCCAUACUUUAUACUGAGCUAGGGAUGGGCCUUCCCUGAAAGUAUAUGGACUGAGGGUAGGAAGAACAAUUUCCUGAGGGUAUAAGGCCGUGAUUACGGAAAAAUGCGGGAAAUUAAUCUGGGAAGCAUACAAAAAAAUGUACCUUUCUUACAGAUAGUUUCAGAACUUAGGAGCCAACAAUUUCUCCCCUCCCUGUGUGUCCAUGGCAUUCAUUAUGAGGAAGUGGAAUCCGUUCUCGCGUGCACACACACACACACACACACACACACGCUCAUCUUGAGUCAGGCUGGCCUUGCCCGGUAGAAUGCGACUUGUCUUGCCUAGUAAAUGCAACAGAGGUAGCACUCUGCCAUUUCAGGGACUUUAUAAGCCUGGAAACUCGGACAUUUGCUCUCUUGGAUCUUUGAACCUCCAGGUUAAAAGUCCAGGAUGCCCUGAUAGAGAGAGGGACCAUGUGGAAUUCAACCAGGCGGAGAGAGAGAAUGAGGUGUCUCAGCCUAUGACCAGCACCAAAGCCCCAGACAUGUAAAGGGAACCAUCUUGGUCUUCCCCACUCAAUAUACUUAUCAAGUGCUGUCUUACUGAUGACUCCAGCCAGCACCACACGGAGGAAGAAGCACCCAGCCAAUCAGUCAUGAGAAAUAAUCAUUGUAGUGUUAGGCCACUACGUUUUCAUUGCUUACACAUCAAAAAAAAAAAAAAAAAAAAAGAAAUAAUAUCACUGAUGUCUCUUUUUCACCCGCUGCAGGAAAAUUCCACUGAGCAAAAGCACAGAGUUUGUGACCUGCCUGAAGGAGAAGGUCCAAGGGCUGGGACAUCCAUCCACCUCCCAAAGGGAAGCACUCUGACCUCUGGCUUCUAAUUCGAGGCUCUUUUCCUUAUGAUUCCUGCCACCCUUAGGAAUAUUCCCUACUGUUUCCUACUGUUGGGACAGGCACGUUCACACUGUUGGUAAGUGUGAAUUGGAGUGGCCAAAAGGUGCAUGAACCAUUUCGAUUC
RNAcentral lists this long non-coding RNA (6468 nucleotides) under Lynx pardinus (Iberian lynx). Lineage: Eukaryota; Metazoa; Chordata; Mammalia; Carnivora; Felidae. The record is from RNAcentral.